AUAACUUACCCUUAGGACUGGGAUAACCCUGGGAAACUGGGGAUAAUACUAGAUAGGCAAUUUUUCCUGGAAUGGUUUUUUGUUUAAAUGUUUUUUCGCCUAAGGAUGGGUCUGCGGCCGAUUAGGUAGUUGGUUAGGUAACGGCUUACCAAGCCAUUGAUCGGUACGGGUUGUGAGAGCAAGAGCCCGGAGAUGGAACCUGAGACAAGGUUCCAGGCCCUACGGGGUGCAGCAGGCGCGAAACCUCCGCAAUGUGAGAAAUCGCGACGGGGGGAUCCCAAGUGCCAUUCUUAACGGGAUGGCUUUUCAUUAGUGUAAAGAGCUUUUGGAAUAAGGGCUGGGCAAGACCGGUGCCAGCCGCCGCGGUAACACCGGCAGCUCUAGUGGUAGCAGUUUUUAUUGGGCCUAAAGCGUCCGUAGCCGGUUUAAUAAGUCUCUGGUGAAAUCCUGUAGCUUAACUGUGGGAAUUGCUGGAGAUACUAUUAGACUUGAGACCGGGAGAGGUUAGAGGUACUCCCAGGGUAGAGGUGAAAUUCUGUAAUCCUGGGAGGACCGCCUGUUGCGAAGGCGUCUAACUGGAACGGUUCUGACGGUGAGGGACGAAAGUUAGGGGCGCGAACCGGAUUAGAUACCCGGGUAGUCCUAACUGUAAACGAUGCGGACUUGGUGUUGGGGUGGCUUUGAGCUGCUCCAGUGCCGAAGGGAAGCUGUUAAGUCCGCCGCCUGGGAAGUACGGUCGCAAGACUGAAACUUAA
This 755-nucleotide ribosomal RNA is filed under the name uncultured Methanobrevibacter sp. Its description in RNAcentral is "bacterial SSU rRNA". It matches the Rfam family "Archaeal small subunit ribosomal RNA", at positions 104 to 859 of the family's 1478-position model. The record is from RNAcentral. Lineage: Archaea; Methanobacteriati; Methanobacteriota; Methanobacteria; Methanobacteriales; Methanobacteriaceae.